AUUGAACGCUGGCGGCAUGCUUUACACAUGCAAGUCGAACGGUAACAGGCCUUCGGGUGCUGACGAGUGGCGAACGGGUGAGUAAUGCAUCGGAACGUGCCCAGAGGUGGGGGAUAACGCAGCGAAAGCUGUGCUAAUACCGCAUGUGAUCUGAGGAUGAAAGCGGGGGACCAGGCAGCAAUGUUUGGCCUCGCGCCUUUGGAGCGGCCGAUGUCAGAUUAGGUAGUUGGUGGGGUAAAGGCCUACCAAGCCGACGAUCUGUAGCUGGUCUGAGAGGACGACCAGCCACACCGGGACUGAGACACGGCCCAGACUCCUACGGGAGGCAGCAGUGGGGAAUUUUGGACAAUGGGCGCAAGCCUGAUCCAGCAAUGCCGCGUGCGGGAAGAAGGCCUUCGGGUUGUAAACCGCUUUUGUACGGAACGAAAAGGCUCUGGCUAAUACCUGGGGCUGAUGACGGUACCGUAAGAAUAAGCACCGGCUAACUACGUG
This 492-nucleotide ribosomal RNA is filed under the name uncultured bacterium. RNAcentral describes it as "partial 16S ribosomal RNA". It matches the Rfam family "Bacterial small subunit ribosomal RNA", at positions 30 to 507 of the family's 1533-position model. The record is from RNAcentral.